This 456-nucleotide ribosomal RNA is filed under the name uncultured bacterium. Its description in RNAcentral is "bacterial SSU rRNA". It matches the Rfam family "Bacterial small subunit ribosomal RNA", at positions 100 to 554 of the family's 1533-position model. The record is from RNAcentral.
GCACGGGUGAGUAACGCGUAUGUAAUCUGCCCUGUACAGAGGGAUAGCCCAGAGAAAUUUGGAUUAAUACCUCAUAGUAUUACCGAAUCGCAUGAUUUGGUAAUUAAAGCUCCGGCGGUACAAGAUGAACAUGCGUGACAUUAGCUAGUUGGUAAGGUAACGGCUUACCAAGGCUACGAUGUCUAGGGGUUCUGAGAGGAUGAUCCCCCACACUGGUACUGAGACACGGACCAGACUCCUACGGGAGGCAGCAGUGAGGAAUAUUGGUCAAUGGACGCAAGUCUGAACCAGCCAUCCCGCGUGAAGGAUGACUGCCCUAUGGGUUGUAAACUUCUUUUAUAUGCAAAUAAACCUACUUUCGUGAAAGUAGCUGAAGGUAGCAUAUGAAUAAACACCGGCUAACUCCGUGCCAGCAGCCCGGGUAAUACGGAGGGUGUAAGCGUUAUCCGGAUUUAU